UAAACGAUGUGGGAAGGCUUAGACAGCUAGGAGGUUGGCUUAGAAGCAGCCAUCCUUUAAAGAAAGCGUAAUAGCUCACUAGUCGAGUCGGCCUGCGCGGAAGAUGUAACGGGGCUCAAACCACACACCGAAGCUGCGGGUGUCACGUAAGUGACGCGGUAGAGGAGCGUUCUGUAAGCCUGUGAAGGUGAGUUGAGAAGCUUGCUGGAGGUAUCAGAAGUGCGAAUGCUGACAUGAGUAACGACAAUGGGUGUGAAAAACACCCACGCCGAAAGACCAAGGGUUCCUGCGCAACGUUAAUCGACGCAGGGUUAGUCGGUUCCUAAGGCGAGGCUGAAAAGCGUAGUCGAUGGGAAACAGGUUAAUAUUCCUGUACUUCUGGUUACUGCGAUGGAGGGACGGAGAAGGCUAGGCCAGCUUGGCGUUGGUUGUCCAAGUUUAAGGUGGUAGGCUGAAAUCUUAGGUAAAUCCGGGGUUUCAAGGCCGAGAGCUGAUGACGAGUCGUCUUUUAGAUGACGAAGUGGUUGAUGCCAUGCUUCCAAGAAAAGCUUCUAAGCUUCAGGUAACCAGGAACCGUACCCCAAACCGACACAGGUGGUCGGGUAGAGAAUACCAAGGCGCUUGAGAGAACUCGGGUGAAGGAACUAGGCAAAAUGGCACCGUAACUUCGGGAGAAGGUGCGCCGGCUAGGGUGAAGGAUUUACUCCGUAAGCUCUGGCUGGUCGAAGAUACCAGGCCGCUGCGACUGUUUAUUAAAAACACAGCACUCUGCAAACACGAAAGUGGACGUAUAGGGUGUGACGCCUGCCCGGUGCCGGAAGGUUAAUUGAUGGGGUUAGCGCAAGCGAAGCUCUUGAUCGAAGCCCCGGUAAACGGCGGCCGUAACUAUAACGGUCCUAAGGUAGCGAAAUUCCUUGUCGGGUAAGUUCCGACCUGCACGAAUGGCGUAACGAUGGCGGCGCUGUCUCCACCCGAGACUCAGUGAAAUUGAAAUCGCUGUGAAGAUGCAGUGUAUCCGCGGCUAGACGGAAAGACCCCGUGAACCUUUACUGUAGCUUUGCACUGGACUUUGAGCCUGCUUGUGUAGGAUAGGUGGGAGGCUUUGAAGCGUGGACGCCAGUUCGCGUGGAGCCAUCCUUGAAAUACCACCCUGGCAUGCUUGAGGUUCUAACUCUGGUCCGUGAUCCGGAUCGAGGACAGUGUAUGGUGGGCAGUUUGACUGGGGCGGUCUCCUCCUAAAGAGUAACGGAGGAGUACGAAGGUGCGCUCAGACCGGUCGGAAAUCGGUCGCAGAGUAUAAAGGCAAAAGCGCGCUUGACUGCGAGACAGACACGUCGAGCAGGUACGAAAGUAGGUCUUAGUGAUCCGGUGGUUCUGUAUGGAAGGGCCAUCGCUCAACGGAUAAAAGGUACUCCGGGGAUAACAGGCUGAUACCGCCCAAGAGUUCAUAUCGACGGCGGUGUUUGGCACCUCGAUGUCGGCUCAUCACAUCCUGGGGCUGAAGCCGGUCCCAAGGGUAUGGCUGUUCGCCAUUUAAAGUGGUACGCGAGCUGGGUUUAGAACGUCGUGAGACAGUUCGGUCCCUAUCUGCCGUGGACGUUUGAGAUUUGAGAGGGGCUGCUCCUAGUACGAGAGGACCGGAGUGGACGAACCUCUGGUGUUCCGGUUGUCACGCCAGUGGCAUUGCCGGGUAGCUAUGUUCGGAAAAGAUAACCGCUGAAAGCAUCUAAGCGGGAAACUUGCCUCAAGAUGAGAUCUCACUGGGAACUUGAUUCCCCUGAAGGGCCGUCGAAGACUACGACGUUGAUAGGCUGGGUGUGUAAGCGUUGUGAGGCGUUGAGCUAACCAGUACUAAUUGCCCGUGAGGCUUGACCA
Molecule: ribosomal RNA, 1875 nt
Filed under: Pseudomonas aeruginosa
Lineage: Bacteria; Pseudomonadati; Pseudomonadota; Gammaproteobacteria; Pseudomonadales; Pseudomonadaceae
Description: partial 23S ribosomal RNA
Rfam family: Bacterial large subunit ribosomal RNA
Source: RNAcentral